CCUACGGGGGGCUGCAGUGGGGAAUAUUGGACAAUGGGGGCAACCCUGAUCCAGCCAUGCCGCGUGUGUGAAGAAGGCCCUCGGGUUGUAAAGCACUUUCAGUGAGGAAGAACGCCUGGUGGUUAAUACCCAUCAGGAAAGACAUCACUCACAGAAGAAGCACCGGCUAACUCCGUGCCAGCAGCCGCGGUAAUACGGAGGGUGCGAGCGUUAAUCGGAAUUACUGGGCGUAAAGCGCGCGUAGGUGGCUUGAUAAGCCGGUUGUGAAAGCCCCGGGCUCAACCUGGGAACGGCAUCCGGAACUGUCAAGCUAGAGUGCAGGAGAGGAAGGUAGAAUUCCCGGUGUAGCGGUGAAAUGCGUAGAGAUCGGGAGGAAUACCAGUGGCGAAGGCGGCCUUCUGGACUGACAAUGACACUGAGGUGCGAAAGCGUGGGUAGCAAACAGGAUUAGAUACCCGAGUAGUC
RNAcentral lists this ribosomal RNA (465 nucleotides) under Vreelandella stevensii. RNAcentral describes it as "partial 16S ribosomal RNA". It matches the Rfam family "Bacterial small subunit ribosomal RNA", at positions 338 to 795 of the family's 1533-position model. Lineage: Bacteria; Pseudomonadati; Pseudomonadota; Gammaproteobacteria; Oceanospirillales; Halomonadaceae. The record is from RNAcentral.